RNAcentral lists this long non-coding RNA (217 nucleotides) under Elaeis guineensis (African oil palm). RNAcentral's name for it is "long non-coding RNA (EGUI_LNC069800)". Lineage: Eukaryota; Viridiplantae; Streptophyta; Magnoliopsida; Arecales; Arecaceae. The record is from RNAcentral.
CAACAAUACAUAUAACAAAGUCUUGAUGAGUAGAGGGCAUCCACUGAGGGACCUUUUGAUUCAUUGAGCUAGCAGAUUAGCAAUUUGUCCCAAAGCUUGGAUAUUUUUGAGAAGAGGCAGCUUGGGAUAGUUGAGAUGGUUGAUUAGUUGAAGGGAGAGGCUGCUAGAAUUCUUCGAUGAGUUGAGGAGAUCAUGAUUUCUCAGUAGAACAGCACAG